AAAACUUAAAAAAGAAUAAAUUUAUUCUAUUAAUUU
Molecule: transfer RNA, 36 nt
Filed under: Somabrachys aegrota
Lineage: Eukaryota; Metazoa; Arthropoda; Insecta; Lepidoptera; Somabrachyidae
Description: partial transfer RNA-Ser
Source: RNAcentral